AAUAGAUACCCAGGUAGUCCCAGCCCUAAACGAUGGAUACUAGGUGUCGGGGGUAUCGACCCCUCCGGUGCCGCCGCUAACGCAGUAAGUAUCCCGCCUGGGGAGUACGGCCGCAAGGUUGAAACUCAAAGGAAUUGACGGGGGCCCGCACAAGCGGUGGAGCAUGUUGUUUAAUACGUCACUAACCGUAGAACCUUACCAGGGUUUGACAUGGCGUGAUCUCCUAUGAAAGUAGGCUUCCCCGCAAGGGGACACGCACACAGGUGUUGCAUGGCUGCCGUCAGCUCGUGUCGUGAGAUGUUGGGUUAAGUCCCGCAACGAGCGCAACCCUUGUCCUUAGUUGCCUUCUCUAAGGAGACCGCCGGUCUAAACCGGAGGAAGGUAGGGAUGACGUCAAGUCAGCACGGCUCUUACGUCGAGGGGCUACACACACGCUACAAUGGCCGGUACAACGGGCUGCGAAGGGGCGACCUGGAGCUAAUCCCACCAAAGCCGGUCUCAGUUCGGAUUGCAGGCUGCAACUCGCCUGCAUGAAGUCGGAGUUGCUAGUAA
This 552-nucleotide ribosomal RNA is filed under the name uncultured bacterium. RNAcentral's name for it is "bacterial SSU rRNA". It matches the Rfam family "Bacterial small subunit ribosomal RNA", at positions 777 to 1341 of the family's 1533-position model. The record is from RNAcentral.